GCCAUUUGAAGAGACAUAAGAAUCUCAUAGGAUAAGUGAUUCUCAUCUUCAAAACACCCUUAAUACACAAGAGGGUGUCCUGUAAAAAUUUUUGCUUAUAAUCUUGAAAAUCAAAGAAAAGUACUUGUAAAAUAGAUGGUUAAGAAUGAAUUACCUUUUAGCUUAUGUGAAUUUUUAAAUUUUGAAGAGUAUGUUCAAUUAGCCUUACAACCUGCUUACAGAAGAAUCAGUAGACGUACAUUCAGAAAAGCAGCUAUGACUAAUUACUUAACAAUGAAGGAUAAUUUGAUUGGAACUCUUUCUGCCUUCAAUGC
Molecule: long non-coding RNA, 314 nt
Filed under: Elaeis guineensis (African oil palm)
Lineage: Eukaryota; Viridiplantae; Streptophyta; Magnoliopsida; Arecales; Arecaceae
Description: long non-coding RNA (EGUI_LNC075387)
Source: RNAcentral